CGCCAAACUACAAAACCAGUCAAGGUUUAAGUCACAAAUGAGCAAAUGAAAAUCAUCACCACUAGAACAACAAUCUUUUUGCCAAAGUAUACAAGAGAAUUAGAAGUCCACACUCAGGUAGUCUACAAUUAUUCAAUCAUUUUCCCAAUUAUUUCUUUUCAGUUAGUAUUUUGUCCAUUCUCAACGCCAAGACCAUACAGAACACCUGCAUAUUUCUCUGCGGAGCCGCUGAA
This 233-nucleotide unclassified non-coding RNA is filed under the name Hevea brasiliensis (rubber tree). The record is from RNAcentral. Lineage: Eukaryota; Viridiplantae; Streptophyta; Magnoliopsida; Malpighiales; Euphorbiaceae.